UCAAGUCCGAUGCUAAAGACUGGGGCUCAACCCCAGGGGUGCGUUGGAUACUGUGAGGCUAGACGGUCGGAGGGGGUAGCGGAAUUUCCGGAGUAGCGGUGAAAUGCGCAGAUACCGGAAGGAACGCCAAUAGCGAAGGCAGCUACCUGGACGACUUGUGACGCUGAGGCGCGAAAGCGUGGGGAGCAAACCGGAUUAGAUACCCGGGUAGUCCACGCCCUAAACCAUGAGUGCUGGGUGUCCGGCUUCUGCUGGGUGCCGUAGCUAACGCGCUAAGCACUCCGCCUGGGAAGUACGCUCGCAAGUGUGAAACUCAAAGGAAUUGACGGGGGCCCGCACAAGCGGUGGAGCAUGUGGUUUAAUUCGAAGCGACGCGAAGAACCUUACCAGGCCUUGACAUGCCCGGAACCCCUCUGAAAGGAGGGGGUGCCCGCAAGGGAGCCGGGACACAGGUGCUGCAUGGCCGUCGUCAGCUCGUGUCGUGAGAUGUUGGGUUAAGUCCCGCAACGAGCGCAACCCCUAUCCCUAGUUGCCAGCAGUUCGGCUGGGCACUCUAUGGAGACUGCCUGCGAAAGCAGGAGGAAGGCGGGGAUGACGUCUGGUCCGCAUGGCCCUUACGGCCUGGGCGACACACGUGCUACAAUGCCAAGGACAGAGCGCUGCUACCUCGCGAGAGGACGCCAAUCGCAAAAACCUUGGCUCAGUUCGGAUUGGAGUCUGCAACUCGACUCCAUGAAGCCGGAAUC
RNAcentral lists this ribosomal RNA (746 nucleotides) under uncultured Thermaceae bacterium. Its description in RNAcentral is "bacterial SSU rRNA". It matches the Rfam family "Bacterial small subunit ribosomal RNA", at positions 583 to 1333 of the family's 1533-position model. The record is from RNAcentral. Lineage: Bacteria; Thermotogati; Deinococcota; Deinococci; Thermales; Thermaceae.